Molecule: long non-coding RNA, 169 nt
Organism: Protobothrops mucrosquamatus (brown spotted pit viper)
Lineage: Eukaryota; Metazoa; Chordata; Lepidosauria; Squamata; Viperidae
Exons: 3
Source: RefSeq, a predicted model, not a curated record
CCGUCAGGCCGGAACAUGGAUAUCCGUAAAUUCUUUGGAGUUGUGAAUCCAGGGAAGAAGCCUGAGUGUGGCCUUGUGAGAAAGGAAAAAUCCCAGAAUAAAGAGAGGAAUGCAGGGGUAACGUCGACACUGAAGGAAAGCAAGGUGAAAACUCCAUCUCACGAAGGUG